RNAcentral lists this transfer-messenger RNA (448 nucleotides) under Candidatus Dojkabacteria bacterium. It matches the Rfam family "transfer-messenger RNA". Rfam says of the family: Bacterial tmRNA, also known as 10Sa RNA or SsrA, is named for its dual tRNA and mRNA-like properties. Its role is to liberate the mRNA from a stalled ribosome. The record is from RNAcentral.
GGGGAUGUUAUUCGACAGUAAAUACUAGCCUGCAAGGCAGACCAGAGAUUCGCUUGGUUCUCUCUGUAAUCAGUAAUCAAGUCGUAUGCUUCGGUAUACGUAUUGACUAAGCGUCAAUCCAAUUCAAAAACUAGCUAGCAAAGUCGAUGCAUUCUUCGCGAAUGCUUUCGGCACAUUGGCUUUUGCCUAAUGCCAGUUAGUGCAGCUGCACUUAGUCAGCUGCCGCUGUUUAGGAACUCUCCUGAUGGGGCCUACUCGGUGUCAUACAGUCAGGAUGCAGGAAUUAUUCUUUAGUUUGGAGGGUAAUUUCUAAAGACUAAACAAACACUAGACUGGAGUUUUUGCUGGUUUUACAUUCUGGCCUAGUAAAUAACAAAUCAGCUAUGUCUGUACACCUUGGAUGCCUAGAUUUAACUGGACAAGGGCCUAUGGCCCUUCAUCUCCACCA